AAUUCAUGGUGUGGCCAUCUCUAAAUGAGCAUUUUUAAAAUGCUCCCAAGCUUUGUGAAAACUUUCUCCUUUUAAUUGUUUAAAAGUUAUGAUCUCUCUUCUUAGUU
Molecule: small nucleolar RNA, 107 nt
Organism: Gossypium arboreum
Lineage: Eukaryota; Viridiplantae; Streptophyta; Magnoliopsida; Malvales; Malvaceae
Rfam family: Plant small nucleolar RNA R71
About the family: R71 is a member of the C/D box family of snoRNAs containing the C (UGAUGA) and D (CUGA) box motifs. Multiple nearly identical copies of this snoRNA have been identified in Arabidopsis, and it is thought to function as a 2'-O-ribose methylation guide for 18S ribosomal RNA.
Source: Rfam